AGCAGACGAGGGAAUCGCACUUCACCUUCGCCAGGAUUGAAUAAGAUAAUUUUCAAAAGUUCUUCGCUAAUUGGUGGUUCAGCAAAUGUGCUUAGUUUACCACCUCAGUGUCAUGUGGCCAUCAUCCACCUGUCCUGUUGUCAUACAGCUGAGAAGAAGCUCUGCAUUCUAUCCCUCGGCUGUUCCAAGCCACCCUUAGCGUACUGAUGUGCGGCAGGCAAUGCAGAUGGCACACCUGACAGAGCAGCAGAAAUGCUUGUGCAGAAAUGGUUCCUGAGUACAACCCGGGACCCAGAGCAGCCCAAGAUAACCAGCGUUGGCGAGGACCCAGGCAACCAUGGAGCCUUGAGCUGCAGAUGCAUUAACCCCAUAUUUAAAUCCACGCUUAGUCACAGGGUGCACAUCCCAGGUGACGGCAGAGAUAUUAUUUUACAGCACUCUGUGCCAUUGUUCAUGGGCUUUCUGGAAUUAUUUUGUGGGAAUGAGAAAGUCCCUUGUGACAAUCACAGCAUGGCUGGGCUCCAGUUGCCUCUAACCUCCAAGUGGCGUGAGUGAAGAUGCUCCAGUGUGGACAUGAGACUGAUUUCCCUUGGCUGCUCCUCGCUUCCCACGUUUGUGUUGUUUUCUCUGCCAAAGGGCCAGCUGAAAGCCAUCCAGAUGUGUACAAGAGAAAAGGGUGGAAGUACUGCUCAUUUGGAAAUCUAUCCAAAUGGUUUCUUUCUUAUGAUACGAUGAGGAGGGUGUGAUGUUCUACGCCUCAGUAUCUACUUGCAUAUGGGAACAUCCUGACUCACUUGAAGGUGUUGGAAAGAGAAGCGGGAAGCUCUGAGCGUGAGUGGUAACAAGACAGCAGAAGGCCAAGUGUCAUCUUGGAGUUAUGUUACAUGGCUUAAUCCUUAGACAUCAUCCAGCCCUCAACAAACUCAGAAUGUUCAAAGGAUUUCUGUUAUCCAUCAGCUCGGCAACAAGCAUUUUGAAGUUCUUACUCUGCAAAGCUUGUGCAUGAGUCUAUCCAAGCCUGUUCCGGAGAUGCAAGGCCAAGGUGGAUUACACUGUGCUUUCUUCUGAUUAUAUUCUCCUGUCCCCCCAUGAAGAAAGACUAGGUUAAAAUUAACUGCUAGUUAAAAGUGUAGUAUAGAGACCAUGUGCAGCCUGCUGUGAAGGAGACGGUGGAGGAGGGCUCGCCUGUAAAACUUGACACGUGGCUUUGGGCUUUAUGGAGAAUAAAGGAAGGGUGGUUUCAGAUUGAUCCAUAAAACUUGAGCGGUCA
Molecule: long non-coding RNA, 1270 nt
Organism: Chinchilla lanigera (long-tailed chinchilla)
Lineage: Eukaryota; Metazoa; Chordata; Mammalia; Rodentia; Chinchillidae
Exons: 5
Source: RefSeq, a predicted model, not a curated record